UACUGAGCACAUCGAUUAGGUUCAGCGACCACUUGUGGAAGUACGAAAGCGGAAGAUUAAAAGGGAAACUGGUGUGAAUCCAGUACUGUUCCCGCAACUGUAAACAAAUGGUGAUGCACCAGCCGUAUAAACGGCCACCCGUCAAGAGCCACUGGGAAACCGGGAAGGCGAGGGGUGUUUGAAGUCAGGAGACCUGCCUUAUCUCUAUAAAGUGA
Molecule: non-coding RNA, 215 nt
Filed under: Nonlabens spongiae
Lineage: Bacteria; Pseudomonadati; Bacteroidota; Flavobacteriia; Flavobacteriales; Flavobacteriaceae
Source: RNAcentral